AUUGAACGCUGGCGGCAGGCCUAACACAUGCAAGUCGAGCGGAUGAAGGGAGCUUGCUCCUGGAUUCAGCUGCGGACGGGUGGGUAAUGCCUAGGAAUCUGCCUGGUAGUUGGGGAUAACGUCCGGAAACGGGCGCUAAUACCGCAUACGUCCUGAGGUAGAAAGUGGGGGAUCUUCGGACCUCACGCUAUCAGAUGAGCCUAGGUCGGAUUAGCUAGUUGGUGGGGUAAAGGCCUACCAAGGCGACGAUCCGUAACUGGUCUGAGAGGAUGAUCAGUCACACUGGAACUGAGACACGGUCCAGACUCCUACGGGAGGCAGCAGUGGGGAAUAUUGGACAAUGGGCGAAAGCCUGAUCCAGCCAUGCCGCGUGUGUGAAGAAGGUCUUCGGAUUGUAAAGCACUUUAAGUUGGGAGGAAGGGCAGUAAGUUAAUACCUUGCUGUUUUGACGUUACCAACAGAAUAAGCACCGGCUAACUUCGUG
This 484-nucleotide ribosomal RNA is filed under the name uncultured bacterium. RNAcentral's name for it is "partial 16S ribosomal RNA". It matches the Rfam family "Bacterial small subunit ribosomal RNA", at positions 30 to 507 of the family's 1533-position model. The record is from RNAcentral.